ACAAUCUUAAAGUGCUGUAUCCAGAUGACUACGCCUCACACAGCAGCGGUGGGCUGAUGAAACAGUCUUGCGGGUGUUUGAAAGUUCACAGCAGUGGUUCUUCAUGAAAAACGAUGAAGCUCAAGCCCAUCUGUCUCUAUGGAAGUUAUUACCCAUAAUGCCUCUGUCCCUCAGAGCGGGAGCCGCUGACAGAGACGGAGGAAAGAGCAUUUUUCUCUCUCCACUUCCUGAAAAUGUCAUCAUCAAUCCAUCAAAGCCAGUCUAUGAUUGACAGCUUCAUCGACCAAUGAGAGACGCGUCUGCUUUCUUCCCCUGCGGCAUCGCUGUGAAUCAAUAAACCCUCUGACCCCGGAGCCCAAGGAAUCAUCCGUCUGACCCUGUUCAAAUCUACUGGACAGAGAGAAAGAAGCAGACUGAAAGAGAGAUGUAUGAAGUGAAGCAGCAGCCGCCUCAGGCUCUUCAGAGAAACACUGACCUACAUCAACAUCUGCAGGAAAUCUGAUACAU
Molecule: long non-coding RNA, 507 nt
Organism: Carassius auratus (goldfish)
Lineage: Eukaryota; Metazoa; Chordata; Actinopteri; Cypriniformes; Cyprinidae
Exons: 3
Source: RefSeq, a predicted model, not a curated record